Molecule: long non-coding RNA, 1906 nt
Organism: Sciurus carolinensis (gray squirrel)
Lineage: Eukaryota; Metazoa; Chordata; Mammalia; Rodentia; Sciuridae
Exons: 5
Source: RefSeq, a predicted model, not a curated record
GGAGGCAGCGGCGGCGUCUCCAUUGUGGCUCCUCUCGGGCUUCAGAACGCAGGCACCGACCGCCGCCGCCAGCACCAUUCCAGCCGCGGACGCCGGCACUGCCCGCCCGCCGAGCCGCGUUCCAUCCGCCCCGGAGGGGGCGCCGCGCUCGCCUCACCGCGCGCCACCACCUGCGGCGGCGGCCCCCGCGGCCAUGGCCCGCUCGGCCGGGCGCGCUCCGUGUGCCUGCGCGGCUCCCGCGCUCGCCCGACUGCGGGGCGGCAGCGGCGGCGGCGGCGGGACGGGCGGGCGCGCGGGCUCGGCCACUUCCGGGUUCGGCCCCGGCUGGCGCUGACGCCGUGACGGGACGGCGAUGCGGCCUCCCGCGGCGGCCGGGGACCCCUCCCUCGGCGCCUCCCCUUCCUCCUGUUGUGCUGCUGUCGCUGCUGCUGCCGCCCAGGCGGCUUCUGCUGUGCUGCUUCUGGAGGCGGGCGGGCGGGCGCGAGCCGGAGCGGGGCGGGCGGGCCCAGACGCGGGGCCGGAGCGCGGGCGGCUGCCGCCCGCAGCGCGCCUGUGGGUCACCCGGACGGGGGAGCUGAAAAAUGGGGGGAGGGGUGUGUGUGCAGGAAAAAGGCGACAGAAAGCACCGCCUAAUGACGCUUGGUAUUCACUUGCUGCUCUGCUUCUCGGGCAUGUUCACAUUCAUUCUUUUAAUUUGAGCGUCUACCCAGGAACAUGGAAAGAGUAGGCAUAACCAUCCCCAGCCUUUCCAAACGGUGAAACCGAGGCAAGAAGAAAUGAAUAUGCCUGUCCAGUAGGUCCCAAGCAAGAAGCUAGGUCUUCCUCCUCAGUAUACCAUUUAUGCCUUGGAUGAGUGAAGUGAGCACCUACCAGGCAAGGUUCGGGUACUGGGAACGUGGUAGAGAGCCAAACCAAGUCUCUGCGCUUGUGGAGCUGUCCAUCUAGACGUGAUGACUGCUGUAUGGGCAAUAUGCAAAAGGAUGCAAGAGAGCCAGCAAGAUUAACCUGAUGGGAGGAACACAAGGAGGGUCUGGGCUAGAGUCAGAUUAAAAGAAGUCGUUACAUUCUGACCUAUUUAUUGGAUAAAGCACCAGGAACCUCUGGACUGGAGAUCCAACCCAGAGUUUCACUCAUGCUAGCAUGUUCCUCCCACAGACUCCCACCAAAGGCCCAAGGCAACAGGGCCAACCGAUCACGAUGGAAACCUCUAAAACUCAUCUGAACAACUGCAAGUCCAGCAAUGCAGACACUGGGAAGAACAGACCUGCUCACCACUCCUCUCACAACUGACCCGUCGAGGAUGUGAGAAUAUCCCAUUCUCAGAAAGAUACUCACUCCUGCGUUAACUGAUAAUACACAGACAUACAUAUGGGAGAGGAAAAUGCUCCCCAACCACCCACAAUGAAAUAAAAACAAUAGGAUACUUUAAAUUGCUAUGUUAAGUGAAGAAAUUUUGUCUUUGCUAUUGCUCUUGGCAUAUAGUAAAUGUUCAGUAAAUAUGAAAUGUGACAUUGGUGGUGAUCUUGGGGAAAAAGGGAGAAAGUAGUGGUGUUAAAGGAGUCGGAGGUAGUUUAUCUAAUUUUAAAUCCUCAAAAAAAUUACAUCCACAUUUAAAAAUAGCUCUAAAAUAUGUCAUAGUUAAAAAACAAAAAAGUAUGUGUUUAAUGAUCAAAAGUUCAUUAGGAGAGGGCUGGGGUUGUGGCUCAGUGGCAGAGCGCUUGCCUAGCAUGUGGGAGGCACUGGGUUUGAUUCUCAGCACCACAAAUAAAUAAAUAAAUACAUAAAGGUUCAUCAACAACUAAUGAAAAAACUUUUUUAAUAAAGGUCAUUAAGAGGAGAGGAAAUGUGCGUAUGUGCUUAUAUGCAUAUGUAAAUAUACCACAAGGAAUUUUAUGUAUGAGUAGAA